Molecule: long non-coding RNA, 492 nt
Organism: Pteronotus mesoamericanus
Lineage: Eukaryota; Metazoa; Chordata; Mammalia; Chiroptera; Mormoopidae
Exons: 3
Source: RefSeq, a predicted model, not a curated record
CUGGCCGGUGAGCUCCCCGCGAUCUCCGUGGGUCGCGAGCGCAGAGGCCGGCUGCCAGCUCUUGGACCCUGGAUGGAAAGUGAGUAAUGGGGUGAGGUGCUUCGGACCCCUAACGUGGAUUACAUGGUGCGUAUCAGCCGAGCUCAGAAGACUCACGACCUCCCCGUCCGUGGAUUGAUUCAUUCUACCUAGCAGUCGGGUCGCCUACCUGGAGGUGAAAUCAGAGGUUUGUGGCCAACCUGAGCAGGUGCUUUGAACCAAGGAAGGAUAAGAGAGAAGGUGAACCUGAGCACGAAAGGCCUAGGAAGGAGGAUUGGCAAAGGGUUGCCCUUCCUGCCCACACCUCCCACCAGGAAGCUUCGUGGAGCCACUGUGUGCCACCAGGUCUCCCCUGAAGGACAUGACUCAGAUGUGACCAUCUCUUAAGAGGCAAGAGCUCUGAAUUGAGUCGAGAAUUCUUACUUUGGAGAAUAAAGAAGGUUCUGGAUUUGA